This 253-nucleotide ribosomal RNA is filed under the name uncultured bacterium. RNAcentral describes it as "partial 16S ribosomal RNA". It matches the Rfam family "Bacterial small subunit ribosomal RNA", at positions 524 to 776 of the family's 1533-position model. The record is from RNAcentral.
UACGGAGGGUGCAAGCGUUAUCCGGAUUUAUUGGGUUUAAAGGGUGCGUAGGCGGUUUCUUAAGUCAGCGGUGAAAGUUUUCAGCUUAACUGGAAAAAUGCCGUUGAUACUGAGAGGCUUGAAUAUGGUUGCUGUGGGUGGAAUGUGUGGUGUAGCGGUGAAAUGCUUAGAUAUCACACAGAAUAUCAAUUGCGAAGGCAGCUCACAAAGCCAUUAUUGACGCUGAGGCACGAAAGUGUGGGGAUCAAACAGG